UACAGAGAUGGCGACCGUUGUUCGGAAUCACUGGGCUUAAAGAGCACGUAGGCGGAUUGUUAAGUUUAUUGUGAAAGCCCAUAGCUUACCUAUGGAAGAGCAGUAAAAACUGGCGAUCUAGAGUACGAGAGGGGAUAGUGGAACUCCUAGUGGAGCGGUGAAAUGCGUUGAUAUUAGGAGGAACGCCGGUGGCGAAAGCGACUAUCUGGAGCGAUACUGACGCUGAGGUGCGAAAGCUAGGGGAGCAAACGGG
This 253-nucleotide ribosomal RNA is filed under the name uncultured bacterium. RNAcentral describes it as "partial 16S ribosomal RNA". It matches the Rfam family "Bacterial small subunit ribosomal RNA", at positions 524 to 776 of the family's 1533-position model. The record is from RNAcentral.